ACGGGGGGGGGCAAGCGUUGUUCGGAAUUACUGGGCGUAAAGGGCUCGUAGGCGGCCAACUAAGUCAGACGUGAAAUCCCCCGGCUUAACCAGGGAACUGCGUCUGAUACUGGAUGGCUUGAGUUUGGGAGAGGGAUGCGGAAUUCCAGGUGUAGCGGUGAAAUGCGUAGAUAUCUGGAGGAACACCGGUGGCGAAGGCGACAUCCUGGACCAACACUGACGCUGAGUGAGCGAAAGCCAGGGGAGCAAACGGGA
This 255-nucleotide ribosomal RNA is filed under the name uncultured prokaryote. Its description in RNAcentral is "partial 16S ribosomal RNA". It matches the Rfam family "Bacterial small subunit ribosomal RNA", at positions 525 to 777 of the family's 1533-position model. The record is from RNAcentral.